CAAUAGCGUAUAUUUAAGUUGCUGCAGUUAAAAAGCUCGUAGUUGGAUUUCGGGUUGGCUUCAGCGGUCUCGCUUUGCGUUUGUACUGCUGCAGCCUACCUUCUUGUCGGGGACGGGCCUUCGGGCUUAAUUGCUUGGGGCCCGGAGUCGACGAUGUUACUUUGAGUAAAUUAGAGUGUUCAAAGCAAGCCUACGCUCUGAAUAUAAUAGCAUGGGAUAACACGACAGGACUCUGGCCUAUCGUGUUGGUCUGUAGGACCAGAGUAAUGAUUAAGAGGGACAGUCGGGGGCAUUCGUAUUCCGUUGUCAGAGGUGAAAUUCUUGGAUUUACGGAAGACGAACAUCUGCGAAAGCAUUUGCCAAGGAUGUUUUCAUUGA
This 378-nucleotide ribosomal RNA is filed under the name uncultured eukaryote. RNAcentral describes it as "partial 18S ribosomal RNA". It matches the Rfam family "Eukaryotic small subunit ribosomal RNA", at positions 592 to 976 of the family's 1831-position model. The record is from RNAcentral.